RNAcentral lists this ribosomal RNA (2119 nucleotides) under Staphylococcus aureus. RNAcentral's name for it is "partial 23S ribosomal RNA". It matches the Rfam family "Bacterial large subunit ribosomal RNA", at positions 803 to 2925 of the family's 2925-position model. Lineage: Bacteria; Bacillati; Bacillota; Bacilli; Caryophanales; Staphylococcaceae. The record is from RNAcentral.
GAUGAACUGAGGGUAGCGGAGAAAUUCCAAUCGAACCUGGAGAUAGCUGGUUCUCUCCGAAAUAGCUUUAGGGCUAGCCUCAAGUGAUGAUUAUUGGAGGUAGAGCACUGUUUGGACGAGGGGCCCCUCUCGGGUUACCGAAUUCAGACAAACUCCGAAUGCCAAUUAAUUUAACUUGGGAGUCAGAACAUGGGUGAUAAGGUCCGUGUUCGAAAGGGAAACAGCCCAGACCACCAGCUAAGGUCCCAAAAUAUAUGUUAAGUGGAAAAGGAUGUGGCGUUGCCCAGACAACUAGGAUGUUGGCUUAGAAGCAGCCAUCAUUUAAAGAGUGCGUAAUAGCUCACUAGUCGAGUGACACUGCGCCGAAAAUGUACCGGGGCUAAACAUAUUACCGAAGCUGUGGAUUGUCCUUUGGACAAUGGUAGGAGAGCGUUCUAAGGGCGUUGAAGCAUGAUCGUAAGGACAUGUGGAGCGCUUAGAAGUGAGAAUGCCGGUGUGAGUAGCGAAAGACGGGUGAGAAUCCCGUCCACCGAUUGACUAAGGUUUCCAGAGGAAGGCUCGUCCGCUCUGGGUUAGUCGGGUCCUAAGCUGAGGCCGACAGGCGUAGGCGAUGGAUAACAGGUUGAUAUUCCUGUACCACCUAUAAUCGUUUUAAUCGAUGGGGGGACGCAGUAGGAUAGGCGAAGCGUGCGAUUGGAUUGCACGUCUAAGCAGUAAGGCUGAGUAUUAGGCAAAUCCGGUACUCGUUAAGGCUGAGCUGUGAUGGGGAGAAGACAUUGUGUCUUCGAGUCGUUGAUUUCACACUGCCGAGAAAAGCCUCUAGAUAGAAAAUAGGUGCCCGUACCGCAAACCGACACAGGUAGUCAAGAUGAGAAUUCUAAGGUGAGCGAGCGAACUCUCGUUAAGGAACUCGGCAAAAUGACCCCGUAACUUCGGGAGAAGGGGUGCUCUUUAGGGUUAACGCCCAGAAGAGCCGCAGUGAAUAGGCCCAAGCGACUGUUUAUCAAAAACACAGGUCUCUGCUAAACCGUAAGGUGAUGUAUAGGGGCUGACGCCUGCCCGGUGCUGGAAGGUUAAGAGGAGUGGUUAGCUUCUGCGAAGCUACGAAUCGAAGCCCCAGUAAACGGCGGCCGUAACUAUAACGGUCCUAAGGUAGCGAAAUUCCUUGUCGGGUAAGUUCCGACCCGCACGAAAGGCGUAACGAUUUGGGCACUGUCUCAACGAGAGACUCGGUGAAAUCAUAGUACCUGUGAAGAUGCAGGUUACCCGCGACAGGACGGAAAGACCCCGUGGAGCUUUACUGUAGCCUGAUAUUGAAAUUCGGCACAGCUUGUACAGGAUAGGUAGGAGCCUUUGAAACGUGAGCGCUAGCUUACGUGGAGGCGCUGGUGGGAUACUACCCUAGCUGUGUUGGCUUUCUAACCCGCACCACUUAUCGUGGUGGGAGACAGUGUCAGGCGGGCAGUUUGACUGGGGCGGUCGCCUCCUAAAAGGUAACGGAGGCGCUCAAAGGUUCCCUCAGAAUGGUUGGAAAUCAUUCAUAGAGUGUAAAGGCAUAAGGGAGCUUGACUGCGAGACCUACAAGUCGAGCAGGGUCGAAAGACGGACUUAGUGAUCCGGUGGUUCCGCAUGGAAGGGCCAUCGCUCAACGGAUAAAAGCUACCCCGGGGAUAACAGGCUUAUCUCCCCCAAGAGUUCACAUCGACGGGGAGGUUUGGCACCUCGAUGUCGGCUCAUCGCAUCCUGGGGCUGUAGUCGGUCCCAAGGGUUGGGCUGUUCGCCCAUUAAAGCGGUACGCGAGCUGGGUUCAGAACGUCGUGAGACAGUUCGGUCCCUAUCCGUCGUGGGCGUAGGAAAUUUGAGAGGAGCUGUCCUUAGUACGAGAGGACCGGGAUGGACAUACCUCUGGUGUACCAGUUGUCGUGCCAACGGCAUAGCUGGGUAGCUAUGUGUGGACGGGAUAAGUGCUGAAAGCAUCUAAGCAUGAAGCCCCCCUCAAGAUGAGAUUUCCCAACUUCGGUUAUAAGAUCCCUCAAAGAUGAUGAGGUUAAUAGGUUCGAGGUGGAAGCAUGGUGACAUGUGGAGCUGACGAAUACUAAUCGAUCGAAGACUUAAUCAA